This 360-nucleotide ribosomal RNA is filed under the name uncultured bacterium. RNAcentral describes it as "partial 16S ribosomal RNA". The record is from RNAcentral.
UCCGUACUCCCCAGGCGGGGCGCUUAACGCGUUAGCUCCGGCACGGAGGGGGUCGAGUCCCCCCACAACAAGCGGGCACCGGUUACUGGCAGGACUACCCGGGUAUCUAAUCCCUUUUUGUACCCUGGGCUUCGUACCUCAACGUCAGUCUAUGUCCAGCAGGCUGCCUUCGCCAUUGGUCUUCCUCUCGAUAUCCUGCAUUUCACUGCUACACCGAGAAUUCCACCUGCCCCUCCAUGACUCCAGUCAGGCAGUAUCGCGUGCGGUUCCGGAGUUGAGCCCCGGGAUUUCACACCUGACUUACCUGACCGCCUACAUACUCUUUACGCCCAGUGAUUCCCAAUAACACUCGGGACCUUC